UCGAACGAUGAAACCGCCCUCGGGCGGACAUGAAGUGGCGAACGGGUGAGUAACACGUGACCAACCUGCCCCUUGCUCCGGGACAACCUUGGGAAACCGAGGCUAAUACCGGAUACUCCUCGCCCCCCUCCCUGGGGGCCCGGGAAAGCCCAGACGGCAAGGGAUGGGGUCGCGGCCCAUUAGGUAGUAGGCGGGGUAACGGCCCACCUAGCCCGCGAUGGGUAGCCGGGUUGAGAGACCGACCGGCCACAUUGGGACUGAGAUACGGCCCAGACUCCUACGGGAGGCAGCAUG
Molecule: ribosomal RNA, 294 nt
Filed under: uncultured bacterium
Lineage: Bacteria
Description: partial 16S ribosomal RNA
Rfam family: Bacterial small subunit ribosomal RNA
Source: RNAcentral